UCUGAAGCGGAUUCUCAUACUUCCCCAUUGAGAUGAAUAAUCAGAGUCCGUUCUCAUCGGUGUGUGUGUUUUCCCCACACCAGAAACGUCCGUGUGACCCAGAGACACAGCCAUUCUGACAACGCUGAGAGCAGCAAAACCCUCAGCUCUUAUGGACGCUCAGAUCCAUUUACUUGAGGGAGGAACUAAAACCAAAUCGCCUUCUUUUGAGAAAGGGAGAAUAAUCGCCACCUCCAAGUGUCUACCCCAGCACAGCGAUACGAAUGAGCCUGAGGCCAGUCCUGGUCAGGAGAGGACAGCAUCCUGGCUUCUAAGCAAAGGCUGCUGCAGGUCUGAAGAGCAGGAGGUAGGAGCCAUGCUGGCCCAACAUCAAAGGUUUGGCCACUCAGCACACUGUCCAGACAUCUCCUGUCUUUCCCACCCUCCCCACAUGGUGCCAUGCUCAAGUGGAUAUUCAUCACAACCUCUCUCCUAUCACCCCCGGCUCACCCCCAUCUCUGGCUCUGGUAGGGAACUUUCUCCACCAGAAGUGCCUCAUACCCAGGUCAUUCUUCCUUACCCUGCCUCUGACAGGAGUCACCCAUCAGAACCCUCCUAGGGUCCACCAUCCCACAGUCCUGUCUGUGCACAUCAUCCCAGCCUUUCCCAGAUUCUUGUCUGCUCUGGACUACGUUCUUGUACAGCUUGUAUGGCUGUGAGGGAAAGGGUGAGGCGGGGUAAAUGCUCCCCAAACAGCUCUCCAAGAUACACCUCUUGUACUUUCUCAUAGUUCCCACAGGGCUUUGCCACACACAAAGCCUAUUUAGUAACUGGAUGGCAGAGAACUAAGCAAACCAAUUUCUUUCUUCCUACCUAGAGGUCCUAUUUUUACUCUGCUCCCAGAUGCCUCUUCUUCAUGAACAACCUCCUCUCCAAGAACAGAUUCCUGACUCAUGACAGCAGCUCCUGCAAUCUCUGUCAGUGCUCCCCCCUCUAGAUACUCCCCUUCUCUCUCAGUGCUCCUCCUCUCUCAGUGCUCCCCCCCUCCGUGCUCCUCCUCUUCUCUCAGUGCUCCCCCCUCUCAGUGCACCUCCUCUUCUCUCAGUGCUCCUCCUCUCUUGGCGCUCCUCUCAGAGGCCAGCGCAUCACUGUAAAGCUUAGAGACAAUCAUGCCACAGAAGACAAAACAAGUCUGUCUGUCAUCAUCCCUAGGACUCUGCUGGUUCCAUGGAUGGGGAGAUGAGGGGAAUCCUGGUCAGAGGUCAGUGACAACAAGGUCCCCUCAAACUCAUGACUCACCAUCUGAGAAGGUGGGCCCCUUUCUUUCCCAAGCCCUCAUUCUCCCUGUCGCUGUUGUUGGGUAACUUCGCACUGAUACCCCUCAUAAGAUAAAAUAACCCUGGUCUGAUGGCCUUGUAACCAGUCCUUUCUCUGGCUCUCCUCCUCCCCCUGGAAGGACGUGGGACACCAAGAGGUGACCUUGGAGCUCAGAAAGUGACUCACACGACACAAGAACCCAUUAGGCAGAGCUAGCAUCCAAGAGACUGAGAAAGGCUUUCUGGAAUCAUCCAAAGGGAUUUGUACAGUCAAAAGUUCCCAAUCAGAAAAACAAGGCCAAACGAAGAUCUGCUGUGAGGGGAAGAGGAAGCUUGACCCAAGCUGCGGGUCAAGGCUGGCUUGUGAAGGAAAUACAGGGAGCAAUGCUGGCUUACAGACCAAGGGCAGGAGCAGGCAACACAGGUCUCUCUACCCACGACAUUGAAGAGGCUGGCCCCAGCCCUCUGAAGCAGAAGAUUCCUGAAAUACCUGCAGCUUGUCUGAUGCACAUACCACUGCCAGGGCACCUCAUCCCAGUGUAGUCAAAGGCAACCAAGUACAGGGACCUGGAUGGCACAAGAGACCUGGUGCAUGUGGCCUGUCGUCAGAGACCAGGACAGACCAAGACAGGCUCUAGGCCCUCCCUAUCACCUUCUAAUUGUAAACCCUGACCACUCGGGGCAGGGUUUUCCCAGGGACCCUUGGAAACAUUUGGAAAAGUCUCUGUAUCUCUAUCUCUUCGUGUGUGUUGAGGGUGGAGACUCUAUAUGUGUGCAUGUGUGCAAUGAGCGUGUGGAGGCCACAGAUGGGCAAUGGGUGCCUUCCUCCUACAACUGUACACCUUACCUGUUGAGACAGGGCUUCUCACUGGACCUGAAGUGUACCCGUCUGCACUCACGACCACCGCCACCAACAACAACCAAUCACCAACAUCACCACCACUACCACCGCUGCCAUCACCACCAGAAUAACAGGUGCAUGCAGCAGUGCCAUCACCACUACAGCCGCCACUGCCACCACCAGAGUGACCGGCGCAUGUAGCCAUGCCUGGCUUUUCUGAGGGUGCUGGGGAUUUGAACUCAGAUCCUCAUGCUUGUGUAGUAAGAACUCUGUUCACUGAUCUGUCUCCCUAGUCCCCACCUUGGUGUGGUGUGGGUCACAAGACAACUUCAGCUGUCAGUCUCAAGAAGGCCAACCAUCUCAUUUGAGAACUUUUACAGUUCAGAAGGGCCCUAGUGAGGCUAAACUGGCCCAUGAUCUCCAGGGAUCUGCCUGUACCCACCUCGCCAGCCCUGAGAUUGCAAAUGCACGGCCCACACCUGGCAUUUCUGCAUGGAUUCUGGGAUUCUAGUCUUCAGGUUUGCAAGACAAGUGCUUUAUUGCUUCAGCCAUCACCCCCAAACCCCUAACUUUCUUUUCCAACUGAUACUUAAUCUCAGCCACCGGCUCUCAGACUCACAUUUCCUAAAAGUUCCCUAUGGAUCCCUAUGUUCACGGCAUUUCUAAACCACGGAGGAAAGGUUAUCUAAUUCUCUUUUUAUUGUUCCAAAAUUCAGUUGUCUCAGUUCUUCAUCAGGUCUAGAAGGCCAUGCAGCAUCCUUCUGGGCUCCCCUGACUCAAUGAAAGGAAGAUUCCUUUUCUAUCGAGAACCCAAGCCCACCUGCCUGCGGGGAGCUAAGGAUGCCUGGAAUGAGGCUGGCCAAAUGCGACCUGCUCUGCACACGUGGCAGCCUCACAACGAUCUUGAUCAGUUUCCUCUCCACAUUUGCACUGUUACGGCUCCACAAGCAGCUGCCACCCCAGUCCUCCCAUGUCUGGGGCACUUAAGGUUCUUAUUUUCUUUCAAUAUCGGAAAGUCCUUUAAAUGUCCCCAAUUUUGCAAUCCUUUGCAUCAGCAGAUGCUUGGGUGUAUGUGGGGGGUGGGAGGUUGGAGGAAGCAGUCAGGCUUCUGGGACCCGGGCCAGAGCUCUUAUCCAAGGUCAACGCUGGCAGUCAAGGCAGGGGAGGGAAAGAAGGAAGUGAUACCCAGUGAGAGACCCCGGGAGCGUCUUCCCACAGCCAUGCAGACUGCAAGCCUCGGGCUGAGAGCCGCUGCCUGUCCUAGCUUCGUCAUGGGGGUCCCCAUCAUCUCACUUUCAUACGUGUAUAGGACGAAUUCCAAUCGCACGCACUUCUCCACCCUGCCUUGUCGUUCCCCCCCCCCCCAACCAUCCCCUUCCCCCUCCCCAGGCCCUAUCCCAUUUUUACGUCAUUUUAUUUUUCUUUGUAACUCCCCGGGUUUACAUGGACUCGCUCAUACGGGACCGGAUAUAAGUAACCAAUGGAUUGUGAGCAAACUCAGCAACCGCUGUUUCACAGAAGACAAUAAUUCCUUUUCUCUAUCCGUCCUCUGUUGCCAUUACUCUCGGGGCGGGGAUAGGAACCCAUGUGUCUCUCCCCCAUCUGUGGCUGACCUUUAUUGGCUCAGUUUUCUGCCACCUGCUAUGGGUUUGUGAGUGCCACCCCAAUGUCAUAGCCAGAGCACUGACGUUUCACUGUGGUUCUGGUCCUUUGACUAUCUUUCCACCCCUCCAGAGAGGGAAGUUUUUGUUUAGGGUUUUUCCAGGCAAGUUGAGAAAAACUACCACUAAGACCAGGAGCAGGGCUAGAAAUACGGAAUGACUUGGGCCUUUCACCCUGAGGAGCAGGACAGGCCUGUAAGACAGGCUGAGCAAUCCUAACCCAAACAUGCAAAACCCAAGAAGUCGGGGGCUCUUUUGAGAAACAACAUGACAGUCAGAAAAUUCAAUACCACAAAACUUUAUGCGCACACACAAAAAACCAUUUACAAUGCUGUAAAAAAAUUACUCUCUGGAUGUGUUUGUAAGGUACAUGCAUUUAGAUUUAGGUUCCACCCCCAAGACAGCUCUUUAUUUUUUAAAUUUAAUUUCUCCCUUGCAUUUUCUUCCACAAAACCUUACCAUAUACCCCUGCCUGUUCUCACUCAGAUUCAUGGUGUCUUCUUUUUUAAUUAAUUAAUUUAUAUUUUUUAUUAGUUUUAUUGAGUUAUAUAUUUUUCUCCACUCCCCUCCCUUCUUCCCCUCUCCCCUCUACCCUUUUUCCCAUGGUCCCCAUGCUCCCAAUUUACUCAGAAGAUCUUGUCUUUUUCAACAUCCCAUGUAAUUUAGAACCACAUAUAAGACAGCUCCUUAUGUAUAUGAAAAUAAUUGUGAAAUUUGAACUCCAAGGUACCCUGAUCCUAGGCAUUCUGGAUGAGGACUACUGAACCUCUACUCUCUUCUGAGGCACACAUGCCCACGAAGCAUGCCGACUAAGGGACAGGUGUCUCUUUGGCCGAGCCCUCUGCUCUAGAUGCCUCCCUCGGGCUCUGCUGGAUUUGAAAGGCUGAAUCCACUGCCAGCCCAGCCCACUCUGCAAAGAUGCUGUGCACAGCUCUUCUUAAGGGCCAAAAUGCUUAUGCCACCGAUGUCUGUUAGUUGAGAUCAUUUAUACACACAUACAGAGAGAGUGACAGAGACAGAGAGACAGAUACACACAGGAGAGAGAGAGAGAGAGAGAGAGAGAGAGAAACUGUCCCUGAGUAAACCCCCCCCCCAUGGAUGGAAAUAUCCAGUUUUCUGGGAAUUAUGGAAGAGCAAAUCCCUUUGGGAUUAGAGUAAAAUGAGGUCUGGCUUGGAAUAAGGUCUGGGACCUGGAGAUUUGGCUCACUCCCUAGAAGUGUCAUGCCAGCAGGCAGAAUCUGGAGCAGCCAGAUUGGCUGACCAACUGCUUGAUUCUCCUGCCACGGAGAGCUCUCCACAGGCAGAUGCCCAGUAGGUUCACAGACCUGUCGCCCGCCAGACUAUUUCUGUCUCAGGGAGACACACGUACUCUGGACAAAGACCAAUGCGUCAGGCUUCCCCUUUCUUCUUUUAGAGUUCUUUUUCUUGGUAGUGGUGGUGCAUACACGCUUGUGUACCUGCAUUGUGUGUGUGCAUAUGCGUGUAUGUGUGUGUGUGUGUGUGUGUGUGUGUGUGUGUGUGUGUGUAAGUGUAUCUGAGGAUCAAACUCUGGGCCCCAAUAAGGGAGGCAAAUGCUCUAGCAAAGGCCAGCCCCUCGGUGCCAGCUUUUAACAGCAUUAUCCUGUAUUUCCUCUGGGCCUUGUAUGUGCUGGGACAGUCCAGUUAAUCACUUCACUCAGGAUGCUGGCAAAACGUCAGCCAAGCUCUCUCCAGAAGUUCUGUUGUAAAUACAGGUGAAGCGUGCGUGAUAUGCAAAUACAUUUACUACUCAUCUUUUCCCGUCUAAAUCAAAAUUUUAUUUACUGAAUUUUUAUUGACAUAAUUAUAGAUUCUAAGAAAUAACACCAGAGGGGAGUGAGAGAUGGCUCAGUCAGUAAAGACUCUGCUGUAAAGGCACAGGGACCUGAGCUCAGAUCCCCACACCUAUGUUUAAAAAAAAAAAAGAUGGGUGCAGCGGUGUGUACAUCUAAGGCACAGAGAGGAAGGUCCAACCAACUUGGUGAGAGAUCUUGUGUCAAAAAUCAAGUUAGGGAGCCACUGAAGAAGACAAUCCUGAUGUCUACUCUCCGCACACAUCACCACCACCUUUGUUUUGUUUGCUUGUUUUUCAAGACAGGGUUUCUCAGCCUUGGCUGUCCUAGAACUUGCUCUGUAGACCAAGCUGGCCUCAAACUCAAAGAGGUCUGCCUGCCCUCUGCUUCCCAAAUGCUGGGAUUAAAGGCAUGUGCCACCAGUGAUGGGAUCACAUCACUGCCUUAAGAAGGGCAUUGUAGUGGGCAUCUUCUCCAUUCCUAGUAGUCAAGCAGACUAAGGCAA
Long non-coding RNA from Alexandromys fortis (reed vole), 6113 nucleotides. RefSeq lists it as uncharacterized. Lineage: Eukaryota; Metazoa; Chordata; Mammalia; Rodentia; Cricetidae. The transcript is spliced from 3 exons. The record is from RefSeq and is a predicted model, not a curated record.